Molecule: ribosomal RNA, 303 nt
Filed under: uncultured bacterium
Lineage: Bacteria
Description: partial 16S ribosomal RNA
Rfam family: Bacterial small subunit ribosomal RNA
Source: RNAcentral
AGCAGUCGCCACGGGAAUACAGAGGGUGCGAGCGUUAAUCGGAUUUACUGGGCGUAAAGCGUGCGUAGGCGGCUUCUUAAGUCGGAUGUGAAAUCCCUGAGCUUAACUUAGGAAUUGCAUUCGAUACUGGGAAGCUAUAGUAUGGGAGAGGAUGGUAGAAUUCCAGGUGUAGCGGUGAAAUGCGUAGAGAUCUGGAGGAAUACCGAUGGCGAAGGCAGCCAUCUGGCCUAAUACUGACGCUGAGGUACGAAAGCAUGGGGAGCAAACAGGAUUAGAUACCCGUGUAGUCCCUGUCUCUUAUAC